GUCUGCAGCCACGGGGCCCCCAAAACAGUCUGAGAGUCAGAGUUAUGGGGUAUCUGAAGCUUGAUCCCCAGCCACACAGGUCGGGUUAAAUGGCUCUGGCUCAGUGGCAACGCCUGUGCAGUAACCGUUACUGCUUGAUGACCCCCAAACCAGGUCCUGCAAAGCUACCCCCUACUCUCUCAACAGUCUUAGGCCCACCUGCACCCAGGUGAAAUAAACAGCCUUGUUGCUCACACAAAGCGUGUUGCUGGACUCUCUUCACAUGGACGUGCGUGACAUUUGGUGCCGAAACCUGGGACAGGAGGACUCCUUCGGGAGACCAGUCCCCUGUCCUCACCCUCUGUGAGGAGAUCCACCUAUGACCUCAGGUCCUCAGACCAACUAACCCAAGGAACAUCUCACCAAAUUCAAAUCGGGACCCCACUGGAAAUCAGACUGUCCAACUUGCCUGGCAGCCACUCCUAGAGUCCCUGGAACUCUGGCCCAAGGCUGUCUGACUGACUUCUUUCCAGAUCUUCUCGGCUUAGCGGCUGAAGACUGACGCUGUCCGAUCGCCUCAAAAACCUCCUGGACCAUCCCGGAUGCUUUGGGUAACUCUUACAGUGGAGGAAGACAGGAAUGUCAGGCCUCUGAGCCCAACUAAGCCAUCAUAUCCCCUGUGACCUGCACGUAUACAUCCAUAUGGCCUGAAGCAACUGAAGAUCCACAAAAGAAGUGAAAAUAGCCAAUUCCUGCCUUAACUGAUGACAUUCCACCAUUCCUGCCCCACCCUAACUGAUCAAUUGACUUUGUGACAAUACACCCUCCCCGCCCUUGUGAUAAUGUACUUUGUGAUAUUCCCCCACCCUUGUGAAUGUACUUUGUACAAUACACCCUCCCCACCCUUGAGAAGGUACUUUGUAAUAUGCUCCCCCACCCUUAAGAAGGUACUUUGUAAUGUUCUCCCCACCCUUUGUACUUUGUAAGAUCCACCCCCUGCCUGCAAAAAAUUGCUCCUAACUCCACUGCCUAUCCCAAACCUAUAAGAACUAAUGAUAAUCCCACCACCCUUUGCUGACUGCCUUUUGGACUCAGCUUGCCUACACCCAGGUGAAAUAAACAGCCUUGUUGCUCACACAAA
Molecule: long non-coding RNA, 1120 nt
Organism: Homo sapiens (human)
Lineage: Eukaryota; Metazoa; Chordata; Mammalia; Primates; Hominidae
Exons: 4
Source: RefSeq, a predicted model, not a curated record